Molecule: transfer RNA, 72 nt
Filed under: Ovis aries (sheep)
Lineage: Eukaryota; Metazoa; Chordata; Mammalia; Artiodactyla; Bovidae
Rfam family: tRNA
About the family: Transfer RNA (tRNA) molecules are approximately 80 nucleotides in length. Their secondary structure includes four short double-helical elements and three loops (D, anti-codon, and T loops).
Source: Rfam by way of RNAcentral
UCCCUGGUGGUCAAGUGGUUAAGAUUCUGUGCUUCCACUGCAAAGACACAGGUUUGAUUCUUGGUCUGGGAA